AUGUCGCGCCUCAACUUUGGCGCCAUCAGCCUCAUCCCUAAAGUUAAAGGGGCUUACUCGAUUAAGCAAUACCGCCCCAUCACCCUUAUUAACGUGCCUUUCAAAUUAUGUUCCAAGGCAUACACUACGAGACUUGCCCCGGUUGCACAGCGUGUGAUCGACCGUAGCCAGUCGGGUUUCCUCAAAGGCCGUAACAUCCUAGAAGCUCCGGUGGUAUUGCAAGAGAUCGUUCACGAGCUUAAGCGCACGCGUCAGCCGACCGUGCUCUUUAAGCUUGACUUCGAGAAAGCCUACGACCGAGUGAACUGGGAGUUUAUUCGCGAGGUGCUGACUCGGAAGGGAUUCGAGUCGGGUUUCAUUCAUCGCAUCAUGCAACUUGUCUCUGGGGGGGGGGCAAACUGCGGUGUCGAUUAA
RNAcentral lists this ribosomal RNA (414 nucleotides) under Triticum aestivum (bread wheat). Its description in RNAcentral is "partial small subunit ribosomal RNA". The record is from RNAcentral. Lineage: Eukaryota; Viridiplantae; Streptophyta; Magnoliopsida; Poales; Poaceae.